RNAcentral lists this long non-coding RNA (1013 nucleotides) under Serinus canaria (Common canary). RNAcentral describes it as "lncRNA (ENSSCAG00000014617.1)". The record is from RNAcentral. Lineage: Eukaryota; Metazoa; Chordata; Aves; Passeriformes; Fringillidae.
CCCAACGGGACUGCAGGAUUCCCUGCCCAAGGAACUGUCGGGACUUUCCUGUCCCAAGGAAUGUGGGAUUCAGCCUCAACCCUUGUCCUAAAAGAUUCGGGAUUCCCCCUCAUUCCCUGUCCCAAGGGAUUCAGGAUUCAGACUUGGCCCAGCUCCCAAGGGAUGCAGGAUUUCCUGUCCCAAAUGAUGUGGGGCUCCCCCUCACUCCCUGUCCCAAGGGAUGCAGGAUUCCACCUCUCCAAUUCCUGCUGCUCCUCCCUCCCCUCCCUGCCCUUCACAUCCCUCCGAUCCCAAUCCUGAUACCAGUCCCAAUCCCGAUCCCAUUCCCAGUCCCGAUCCCAGUCCCAGUCCCAGUCCCGAUCCCAGUCCCAGUCCCGAUCCCAAUCCCAGUCCCAGUCCAGACCCCAGUCUCAAUCCCAGUCCCAGUCCUGAUCCCAGUCCCGAUCCCAGUCCCAGUCCAGACCCCAGUCUCAAUCCCAAUCCCAGUCCUGGUCUCGGUGGGUUGGGAUCCCCCAGGUGGCACCGGGAGCCUUUUGCUGCUGCAGGGCCGGAGCAGAUCCGGGCUGGGAUGCCGGGAUGGAUCCAAAGCCCUGCGAGCUCCUCAGCCUGCCCAGUCCUUGUGCCAGCAGCUUCCCCUUCUCCCAGAGGAGCCUCAGAGGGUCUGCAGAUCCCAACUUUUCAUUUCUAUGUUUAUUUCCAUUAUUUUGAUUUUUGGGUAAAAAUCUUCUGAUUUUUUCACACCCCUGACUCCAGCACUUCUCCCAAGACCUCCAGGGCUCCAGGGGUUUUUCCUGCAGGAAUUCCCCCCGUUCAGGGUCCCCCCUGGCCGAAGUCACCCCAGCCCAGCUGACAAUCAAACCAGACUCCCGAAAAACAGGAAUCCAUUGCAGUUUGAUAGAAAAACUUUUUAAAAUCCCCCCCCUUCUCUCUCACCACCUCAUCUCCAGGAUAAACCAUCACCCACUGCUCCUCCUGUAAAUAAACAUCAAACCUUCUUGUAUAAAUUAAAAAUA